AGGGUCCUAACCACAGAGGUUCGACAAAUGGUCCUUACCACAGACGAAAUCAGAGCGAGAACUAUUUACUCAAAGCAAGACUGUCGACCAAUUCGGCAAAAAUGGACAUCAACAUCUUGGCACAAUCUUUCUUCAUUGCUGUUUUAAUUUGCUUAACAAACCCCACUGGUACUCAAGAUAUCCAACAUGUGGCUGGAAAAAAACUUCAUGCUUUGAACAAAUACGAGGUACUAGCAAGACAACUGGGAUCCAAAGAGCAAAGCUCCCAAACACUGAAACGCAGAAGUCAGGCAACCAGGAUUUACCCAAGGGCACCUAAACGACUGUACCAACCAAAGCCUGGGCGAAGAAGGAGGGGGAGAUGGUGGGGGAAAUAGCUACAUGUUUAAAGAAUUUGCUCCUUGCAGACAAUGAAUGCCACAAUUUGAUCUUGCAAGCAAUGCAUUUUGAUUCCUUACUUUAAUAACCUACUAGCUCUGGCAACAAAGCUUUGCAGCAUUAUUAUGGUAUUAGUUUACUGUAGCCUUGAAAAGAUGAUGAAUCCUUUUAAAAUCUGUCUAAUCAUCAGACUCUUUGGUAAAUUCCAACAUUUGAAGUGAGGGCAAUUGAAAAAUUUUGUUGAAAGUAGCAUAUUUUGAAAUCUAAGAUAUCAAGGCGUCCUUUCUAAAAGACUGAACACCCAAAUAACAGGCUGAACACCCCAAGAACACCCUAAGAACAAGCCAUAAAAUCCCCAUUAAGCAGCUGAACUUACUUUAAAACAUAUCAAAAUCGGCAUAUCAUUCCAAAAAUAAUUUGGUCAAUCAAUCAAAAUUAAUUUUGGGGCGGAAAAGGGCCUGAUAAGUCUAAUGCUGUUGAAGUUGUUACAACCAACUGAUGCUUUGCGCGCCAAAGGUGUGAACGGGGGUUAAUACCGUCAACUGAAGCCACAGAAUAGGGAUUCCGUGCUUGAGUGAUCUUCAUUUUAUCGAGUGAACAAUGGAUGCUGUCGCAAAAGAGAAACUUCCAUUAUCACAAAAUUAUCACAAAGACCAUUCUAAACACUUAAAUGUUGUUUUCAGUUUAAAAUGGUGUGAGAAAAUACUUGAAACAAUUAUACAGGCUCAGGCUGAGGAAGCAUUGAAUACCAGGGCGAUUUACCUCUUACUCCUCUUAUUGUAGGUAUCAUACAUAGAAAGGGGGGUUAAUUUAAAAGCAAAAUAAACAGGUUUUGCGAAAUGAUGUUUUUGGUGUAAGAUUAAUAGAAAGGCACUUACCAAAAAAACCAAAUAAAGGGUGCUAGUUUCAAAUGAUUACAAUAUCAUUGCAUAAAUUACAAACAAGUAGCCAUUGCUGAAAGCUGAAAUCGGGUGAAGCCUUUAUGGGUUUGGCAGGCAUAUUUACUUUUUAAUCCAAAAUUGUUAAUCUACAGGCACUAUGGAGCAGGAGGCCUGAGGGGCUUUAGCCCCCCCCCCCCUCCACGCAGAAAAUGCAAAAUAUAAAGGAAUGAACCACCAUUAAAACUUCUUUUUAUUCAAUUUUUGCCCCCACACUUUUUUAGACCCCCCCCACUUUUCAAAAUGCUCUGCAGUGCCUGAUCUACAAAAUGCCAAACAGUAAUAUUUUGUUGUCCAUUGCUAUAGCUUUUAUUGGCAUUUAAAAAUUUGAAGUAUUUCUAAUUAUUUAACUUUUUAGUAAGCCAUAAAGGCACUUAUAAAUAUUUGAAUAUGUAUGUAAUUGUAAUGUAACAAGGUAGGGGACUGUUUAUUAUUUGUGCAUGCAUGAAUAAAUAUUCACCCAUGACCUGUGAAUUAGCAUAAUUCAUUAUGUGAUUGAAUGAAAAUGAUUGCUGCAAGUAAAUUUCAAAAUGGGGUGCCUACUUUU
Rhopilema esculentum is the source of this 1863-nucleotide non-coding RNA. NCBI's taxonomy places the organism in Eukaryota, Metazoa, Cnidaria, Scyphozoa, Rhizostomeae, Rhizostomatidae. The record is from RefSeq and is a predicted model, not a curated record.